Molecule: ribosomal RNA, 253 nt
Filed under: uncultured bacterium
Lineage: Bacteria
Description: partial 16S ribosomal RNA
Rfam family: Bacterial small subunit ribosomal RNA
Source: RNAcentral
UACGUAGGUGGCAAGCGUUGUCCGGAUUUACUGGGCGUAAAGAGCGCGCAGGCGGUCAUUCAAGUCGAGUGUGAAAGCCCCCGGCUCAACUGGGGAGGGUCACUUGAUACUGUUUGACUCGAAGGCGGGAGAGGGAAGUGGAAUUCCCGGUGUAGUGGUGAAAUGCGUAGAUAUCGGGAGGAAUACCGGUGGCGAAGGCGGCAUCCUGGACCGGCAUUGACGCUGAGGAGCGAAAGCCAGGGGAGCAAACGGG